RNAcentral lists this ribosomal RNA (253 nucleotides) under uncultured bacterium. RNAcentral describes it as "partial 16S ribosomal RNA". It matches the Rfam family "Bacterial small subunit ribosomal RNA", at positions 524 to 776 of the family's 1533-position model. The record is from RNAcentral.
UACGGAGGGUGCAAACGUUGCUCGGAAUCAUUGGGCGUAAAGCGCACGUAGGCGGUCCGGCAAGUCGGAUGUGAAAGCCCUCGGCUCAACCGGGGAAGUGCAUUCGAAACUGCCGAACUUGAGUAUGGAAGAGGGUCUCGGAAUUCCCGGUGUAGAGGUGAAAUUCGUAGAUAUUAGGAAGAACACCAGUGGCGAAGGCGGCUCACUGCUCCGGCACUGACGCUGAGGCGCGCAAGCGUGGGGAUCAAACAGG